UCGGAUUGUAGUCUGCAACCGACUACAUGAAGCUGGAAUCGCUAGUAAUCGCGAAUCAGAAUGUCGCGGUGAAUACGUUCCCGGGUCUUGUACACACCGCCCGUCACACCAUGGGAGUCGGAAAUGCCCGAAGUCAGUGACCCAACCGUAAGGAGGGAGCUGCCGAAGGUGGAGCCGGUAACUGGGGUGAAGUCGUAACAAGGUAUC
RNAcentral lists this ribosomal RNA (207 nucleotides) under uncultured bacterium. RNAcentral describes it as "partial 16S ribosomal RNA". It matches the Rfam family "Bacterial small subunit ribosomal RNA", at positions 1293 to 1500 of the family's 1533-position model. The record is from RNAcentral.